This 248-nucleotide long non-coding RNA is filed under the name Carica papaya (papaya). RNAcentral describes it as "long non-coding RNA (CPAP_LNC012363)". The record is from RNAcentral. Lineage: Eukaryota; Viridiplantae; Streptophyta; Magnoliopsida; Brassicales; Caricaceae.
CUAUUUAUUCGGGAAUCACCCCAAGAGUCAUGAAGACCUUUAUCUCAGCCAACCAGUACUCGGCCUCCUCAAAGGAGGAUGCCCCCAUAAAAGUAUAUGAGUUUAGUCUUUUAUACCUCUCAAUAUAGCCUGAGUCCAUCAUGAGAGGAAUUGGGUCCCGUGGAAGAGGGACUGGAUUAUGCUGGGGAUGGAUUGGAUGGCCCUAUGAUGGUAUUGGCUGAUACGGUGGAGGCACCGAAUUGUACUGU